GCCGCCGUGCCCGAGCGGCCAAAGGGGUCGGGCUGCAGACCCGAUGGUCGGGGGUUCGAAUCCCCCCGGCGGCU
RNAcentral lists this transfer RNA (74 nucleotides) under Nanoarchaeum equitans Kin4-M. RNAcentral describes it as "tRNA-Cys (GCA) (tRNA-Cys-GCA-1-1)". It matches the Rfam family "tRNA". From Rfam's summary of the family: Transfer RNA (tRNA) molecules are approximately 80 nucleotides in length. Lineage: Archaea; Nanobdellati; Nanobdellota; Candidatus Nanoarchaeia; Nanoarchaeales; Nanoarchaeaceae. The record is from Rfam by way of RNAcentral.